AGGACUUAGGCAAGGUGAUAGUUUAUCACCAUUUCUGUUUGCAAUAGCUACUGAGCGCCUUGCAGGUUAAGUGAAGCAAGCAGCCAAUAUUGGGCAAGGUGAUAUGCUUUCAACAAAUGCAAGACCUUGAGCAUCUAUUAUUGAGAACCUAUUUAGUGCAAAACGUGUGGAAAGAGGUGUGUCUAUGGACAAACUAUGCUACAAGUUUUGAGGAGAAUAUAAUGGAUCACUUCAUGC
This 237-nucleotide long non-coding RNA is filed under the name Lathyrus oleraceus (garden pea). Its description in RNAcentral is "Pisum sativum (pea) long non-coding RNA (PSAT_LNC013728)". The record is from RNAcentral. Lineage: Eukaryota; Viridiplantae; Streptophyta; Magnoliopsida; Fabales; Fabaceae.